GUAGCAUAAUCAUUUGUCUUUUAAUUGAAGACUAGAACAAAAGAUUAAACAUUUCAAUUAAUAUUCAAAAUUAAUUAUAUCAAUUUAUUCAAGAUGUAAAAAAACAUUUAUAAAACAGGAAGACGACAAGACCCUAUUAAACUUAACUAUAGUUCAACUGGGGCAGUAAAUAAAUUAUUACUUUAAUAUAAAUAUAAACAUAAAAGAUCCAACAUAAUUGAAUAUAUGAUCAAGUUACUAUAGGGAUAACAGCGUAAUAUUUAUUUAAAGAUCUUAUUUAAAUAAAAGAUUGCGACCUCGAUGUUGAAUUAAUAACCUAACUUAUUGUAGUAGAU
RNAcentral lists this ribosomal RNA (335 nucleotides) under Sanogasta bonariensis. RNAcentral's name for it is "partial 16S ribosomal RNA". The record is from RNAcentral. Lineage: Eukaryota; Metazoa; Arthropoda; Arachnida; Araneae; Anyphaenidae.